GACUGACAGUAGCCAUGUUUUUACCUUACAGGAGGUCCAUAUGGAGCCGCGUCUCCCGGUAAGAACGCUCAAAAGCUAACGUUGACUUUUAUUCUCAUUUGAAGCACAUUAUGUUUACAACUUGGCCCUCUGCAGCAGAGCAGAGGAGAUGCGCUUCGGUUGGAGUGACACACCGAGGCAGUCAUUCUGGAGCAGAUUUUCAAGACGCCAGGACAACACUUCAAACCUCAGUGUUGCUUAUUUCAACAACACCAGCAGUGGGGACUCUGACAUUCGUAUCUCUAAUCCACCCUUUCUACCCCCAAAGAGUAACCGCAGAUGAGGAGAUUUGUUGCAGGAUUUUCAAAGAAGAAGCAACAUUGAAAUAUUUCAAGGACCCCUUAGAACAUCGUACCAACACAUUUUUGUAAUAGUUCUGUAAUGACAUAUUCACUGUUUGCUUAUAGCCAUAUAAUACAUUUUUUUGCAGCCUGAUUAACAUGCUUGUUAUAAAAUGGUCCAUUAGAUUGAGCCACACUGUUAAUGUUUCAUUCUUCUGACCUCUCAGUCAGCUGAAGUGAGUGGGUUGAUAUAAUUAUCAUGAAAUGUUCGUCCUUGUGUAACUAUUGUUAAGAUGUAUUUGUGCUCAUUUACUCCAGAAUGCAAC
Parambassis ranga (Indian glassy fish) is the source of this 646-nucleotide long non-coding RNA. NCBI's taxonomy places the organism in Eukaryota, Metazoa, Chordata, Actinopteri, Ambassidae. The record is from Ensembl.